Molecule: long non-coding RNA, 304 nt
Organism: Zingiber officinale
Lineage: Eukaryota; Viridiplantae; Streptophyta; Magnoliopsida; Zingiberales; Zingiberaceae
Exons: 3
Source: RefSeq, a predicted model, not a curated record
GCCAUCAGAAGCCGGCAGAGACGAAGAAGUGUAUCAAGAUGCGACAUUAGGUUGUUGAAGUAAAUUGGUUGUGGAAUUUUCUUCCGGCAGCAACCAUCUGUGGUUGAGAAUUGAACAGAGGAAGAAUUCCAAGAGGUGAGGUUCUGUGCACUGGGGUAUUCGGGUGGUGGACAACAUGUUUGAACAGAGCAGAGAGGUAAAUUCCAGUAGGGUUUCUUUGCCGGCAGCACUUCAACCAGUAACCCUAUUGGCUGUGAACUUGAGGACCUGGUCGCGAGACGAGUAUCUCGAUAUCGGAUUGGAC